Molecule: ribosomal RNA, 253 nt
Filed under: uncultured bacterium
Lineage: Bacteria
Description: partial 16S ribosomal RNA
Rfam family: Bacterial small subunit ribosomal RNA
Source: RNAcentral
GACGAACUGUGCAAACGUUAUUCGGAAUCACUGGGCUUGAAGAGUGCGUAGGCGGUUUUGUAAGUAGGGUGUGAAAGCCCCCGGCUCAACCGGGGAAUUGCGCCCUAAACUGCAAGGCUGGAGUGAGGUAGGGGUGUGUGGAACUUCUAGUGGAGCGGUGAAAUGUGUUGAUAUUAGAAGGAACGCCGGUGGCGAAAGCGACACACUGGACCUUGUCUGACGCUGAGGCACGAAAGCCAGGGGAGCAAACGGG